CAAUUUAAAUUAACAAUUUUACAUUACAUAAUAUUAAAUUUCACUUUGAUAACACACACAAAUUUACUUGUAAUAUUUUGUCUAAACAAAAGCUAAAUAGAACCUGAUGAAUACUUACAUAUGAAAAUUCUAAACAACUAUAUUUAGUUAAUUACAUGAAAGAUAAUUCUAAAUGGAUUAAUUGAAGGGUGGUUUCCAUAAUAAUGCUUCUUGAUAUGCUCCAUGUUGACAGUGUUACUCAUUCCAGGACUCUGUUGCACUUUGAACUCUUAAACUAAACUACAUAAGCCAUAAACCUGCAUAUGUGUACACUAUAUAUCAACCCAUUCGUCUAAUAUAAAAGAGUUUACAGAUAGGCAAUAAUUCAGCAACAAAUCUGCAUGUCAAUUCAAUAAUUCACAAUAAACUGUGAUCUUCACUUCACAUAUAUAUGCAUGACAUCGAUCCAUGUAGAUUAAAGCCUCAUACAGGUUAUAAUCCUCAAUCCACAUGCAACAAAGACGACGACAACAACAACAGAACGGUUGCAGCAGAACAACUGCUACAACCCAGAACAGUGAGAAACAGAACAUGAAAAGAAAACUAAUUAUGCCGUUUUGGGCCUUUUGGUCAUAUAAUUUAAAUUAAAAAAAAUUCAAAGAAGCAUGAUACGAUUUCGAUUUUAUGCGGUUUUGACUAGUAACCAACUCAAA
This 692-nucleotide long non-coding RNA is filed under the name Panax ginseng (ginseng). Its description in RNAcentral is "long non-coding RNA (PGIN_LNC018889)". The record is from RNAcentral. Lineage: Eukaryota; Viridiplantae; Streptophyta; Magnoliopsida; Apiales; Araliaceae.